CACGGUCAAAUGUAGUAACAGAAGGCAAACGGCUUUUCAGGUGAAAGACGACCGAUGUAAAAGGAGUUGCGCUUCCUUGGGUGUAAAUCCCUAAAACUGCCCUUUGAUGCCCUUACACGGACGCUUCUUGCAUGGUGGGUAAUCGUGCCUUAACCCAUUUCAUGUGUGAGGGCAAAGCAAUUUAGAUGGCACCCUACAACGAAUUUGUACGAGGGGCGAAUACUUUUAUUAUGACAA
The submitters of this non-coding RNA (237 nucleotides) gave its source as unclassified sequences. The record is from Rfam.